GACGAACGCUGGCGGCGUGCUUAACACAUGCAAGUCGAACGGAAAGGCCCUGCUUGCAGGGUACUCGAGUGGCGAACGGGUGAGUAACACGUGGGUGAUCUGCCCUGCACUUCGGGAUAAGCCUGGGAAACUGGGUCUAAUACCGGAUAGGAGCCAUUUUUAGUGUGAUGGUUGGAAAGUUUUUUCGGUGUAGGAUGAGCUCGCGGCCUAUCAGCUUGUUGGUGGGGUAAUGUCCUACCAAGGCGGCGACGGGUAGCCGGCCUGAGAGGGUGGACGGCCACAUUGGGACUGAGAUGCGGCACAGACUCCGACGGGAGGCAGCAGUGGGGAAUAUUGCACAAUGGGCGCAAGCCGGAUGAAGCGACGCCGCGUGGGGGAUGACGGCCUUCGGGUUGUAAACUCCUUUCGCUAGGGACGAAGCUUUUUGUGACGGUACCUAGAUAAGAAGCACCGGCUAACUACGUG
Molecule: ribosomal RNA, 465 nt
Filed under: uncultured bacterium
Lineage: Bacteria
Description: partial 16S ribosomal RNA
Rfam family: Bacterial small subunit ribosomal RNA
Source: RNAcentral